GAUGAAUGCUGGCGGCAUGCUUAACACAUGCAAGUCGAACGGGAAGUGGUGUUUCCAGUGGCGAACGGGUGAGUAACGCGUAAGAACCUGCCCUUGGGAGGGGAACAACAACUGGAAACGGUUGCUAAUACCCCGUAGGCUGAGGAGCAAAAGGAGAAAUCCGCCCAAGGAGGGGCUCGCGUCUGAUUAGCUAGUUGGUGAGGUAAUAGCUUACCAAGGCGAUGAUCAGUAGCUGGUCCGAGAGGAGGAUCAGCCACACUGGGACUGAGACACGGCCCAGACUCCUACGGGAGGCAGCAGUGGGGAAUUUUCCGCAAUGGGCGAAAGCCUGACGGAGCAAUGCCGCGUGGAGGUGGAAGGCCUACGGAUCGUCAACUUCUUUUCUCGGAGAAGAAACAAUGACGGUAUCUGAGGAAUAAGCAUCGGCUAACUCUGUG
Molecule: ribosomal RNA, 437 nt
Filed under: uncultured bacterium
Lineage: Bacteria
Description: partial 16S ribosomal RNA
Rfam family: Bacterial small subunit ribosomal RNA
Source: RNAcentral